UACGUAGGAGGCAAGCGUUAUCCGGAAUGACUGGGCGUAAAGGGUGCGUAGGUGGUUUGGCAAGUUGGUAGCGUAAUCCCGGGGCUCAACCUCGGUGCUACUACCAAAACUGUUGAACUUGAGUGCAGGAGGGGUGAAUGGAAUUCCCAGUGUAGCGGUGGAAUGCGUAGAUAUUGGGAAGAACACCAGCGGCGAAGGCGGCCUGCUGGGCUUUUACUGACGCUGAGGCUCGAAAGUGUGGGGAGCAAACAGG
RNAcentral lists this ribosomal RNA (253 nucleotides) under uncultured Eubacteriales bacterium. RNAcentral's name for it is "uncultured Clostridiales bacterium partial 16S ribosomal RNA". It matches the Rfam family "Bacterial small subunit ribosomal RNA", at positions 524 to 776 of the family's 1533-position model. Lineage: Bacteria; Bacillati; Bacillota; Clostridia; Eubacteriales. The record is from RNAcentral.